UUCUCUGCCUUCCAUCCUCCAGGCAUUUGUCAUACUGUCUCUGCUCAGUAAAGGACUAUUUGAAGGAACACUAAAGCACUGACCUGGCUGGGGUAUCUGCCCAUGAAACCAUGAACCCAACACUUCCUCACAGGCUUGAGAAGAUGCAUGGAUGCUGUGUGAGAAUAGAGUUGGAUCUGAGACAUCCACAGUUUACUGAGUCUUCCUGGUCCCUUAACUGAUGUGGACACCGCCAGUGCAAGGAUGAGACAACUUGAGCAUGUAGGGGCUGCAAAGACGGGCUGGGCCCAAGGUCAC
This 297-nucleotide long non-coding RNA is filed under the name Chinchilla lanigera (long-tailed chinchilla). Its description in RNAcentral is "lncRNA (ENSCLAG00000024827.1)". Lineage: Eukaryota; Metazoa; Chordata; Mammalia; Rodentia; Chinchillidae. The record is from RNAcentral.